CAGCAUGUUUCCUUCUGCCCCAGGGUGGAUCCUGAAAUGCCUUCCAGGAAACUGAAGUUCAGAAAGAAUCCAUGCUAAAUCAGAAGAAGCAAUCGACUUCUUCUCCACUGGCUUGGGAAAUACAAAAGGCUUUGGCCAAUGGGAUUUGAAUGGAUGUAUCAUGGUAUGUUGGAGAAGCAGUUUUAAGAGGCAUUGCAAGUUUCUGGCAGCUCUCUGGAUCUUCCCAUCUGCCAUGAGAAUCGCCAAGUCCUACAUAGCAGCUGCUUCUUCAGGAACAAGAUGACCCAUGGAACAGAACCUCAGCUGACCCAUAGCAUGUAAUACAAGCAAGAAAUAAACCUUUGUG
This is a long non-coding RNA of Lemur catta (Ring-tailed lemur), 346 nucleotides long. RefSeq lists it as uncharacterized. Lineage: Eukaryota; Metazoa; Chordata; Mammalia; Primates; Lemuridae. The transcript has 3 exons. The record is from RefSeq and is a predicted model, not a curated record.